GAUGAACGCUGGCGGCGUGCCUAAUACAUGCAAGUCGAGCGAACAGACGAGGAGCUUGCUCCUCUGACGUUAGCGGCGGACGGGUGAGUAACACGUGGAUAACCUACCUAUAAGACUGGGAUAACUUCGGGAAACCGGAGCUAAUACCGGAUAAUAUAUUGAACCGCAUGGUUCAAUAGUGAAAGACGGUUUUGCUGUCACUUAUAGAUGGAUCCGCGCCGCAUUAGCUAGUUGGUAAGGUAACGGCAUACCAAGGCAACGAUGCGUAGCCGACCUGAGAGGGUGGUCGGCCACACUGGAACUGAGACACGGUCCAGACUCCUACGGGAGGCAGCAGUAGGGAAUCUUCCGCAAUGGGCGAAAGCUUGACGGAGCAACGCCGCGUGAGUGAUGAAGGUCUUCGGAUCGUAAAACUCUGUUAUUAGGGAAGAACAAAUGUGUAAGUAACUAUGCACGUCUUGACGGUACCUAAUCAGAAAGCCACGGCUAACUACGUG
Molecule: ribosomal RNA, 497 nt
Filed under: uncultured bacterium
Lineage: Bacteria
Description: partial 16S ribosomal RNA
Rfam family: Bacterial small subunit ribosomal RNA
Source: RNAcentral